GCGAUGAUGUCAUCCCGGCUGCUUUAGUAUUUCCAGCAAGCAGCCAUUUCUUGGGAAAUCAAUGUAAACAAUAACGUUAUGAAAUUUCCCGGACAGGAAGUCAUGGGUUUACAGGGAUUUAAUUGGAACUGACGCCAAUAUAGCAAUGCCUUAUGUGCUUUGGGAUCUAACGAAGUUUUGGACGAGUUGGAGAUAGCAAUUAUGGCAUUAAAGAUUUUUUAUGCAGAAAUACUGUACUAGUAAAAAGUUUGGAAACACUCAUUAGUUUUACUGUUUUCCACAUUGUAGAAUAAUAGUGAAGACAACUAUGAAAUAACACAUGGAAUCAUGUAGCAACCAAAAAAGUGUUAAACAGAUCUUAAUACAUUUCAUAUUCUAGAUUCUUUAAAAUAGCCACCCUUUGCCUUGACGACAGCUUCGCAAAAUGUUGGUAUUCUCUCAACCAGCUUUAUGAGGUAGUCACAUUGAUUGCAUUUUAAUUAACAGGUGUGCCAUGUUAAAAGUUAAUUUGUGGAAUUUCUUUCUUAAUGUGUUUGAGCCAGUCGUUUGUGUUGUGACUAGGUAGGUUUUGUAUACAUUUUGUCUGUACUCUUGUAGUCCAUAUUAUGGCAAGAACAGCUCAAAUAAGCAAAGAGAAACGACAGUCCAUCAUUACUUUGAGACAGGAAGGUCAGUCAAUACGGAAAAUUUCAAGAACUUUGAACGUUUCUUCAAGUGCAGUCGCAAAAACCAUCAAGCGCUGUGAUGAAACUGGCUCUCAUGAGGACCGCCACAGGAAAGGAAGACCCAGAGUUACCUCUGCUGCAGAGGAUAAGUUAAUUCGAGCUACCAGCCUUAGAAAUCGCCAAUUAACUGCACCUCAGAUUGCUGCCAAAAUCAAUGCUUCACAGAGUUCAAGUAAUAGACACAUCUCAUCGUCCACAGUUCAGAGGAGACUGCGUGAAUCAGGCCUUCAUGGUCAAAUUGCUGCAAAUAAACCACUCCUGAAGGACACCAGUGAGAAGAAGAAACUUGCUUGGACCAAGAAAAACAAGAAAUUGACAGAUGCACAAGAAAUUGACUCCUUGCAUGCACUGCAUGUUUGAAAGCUUAGAUUUUCUAUUAUAAUAUAAAAGUGUGGGGACUGAGACAGUGAUUCCAAAACUUUUGUCCCCUUUUCUUGUAAAUAUUUAAUGGUUGAUUUUGAGGUAUGUUUUGGAUUAUUGUCUUGAUAAAACGUCCAACCUCUUCAGCUUUAGUUUCAUGAAUGUUAUACAUUAGUGUAGGAUUUGUAGAUAUUCAGUUCGAUCCAUACUUUACUGUACACCCUUACAAUAUUACUAGUUACACUGGGUGCCAUACAAUCCCUAAGCAUAAUAGAGCUACCCCCAUGCUUAACAGUUGGCAAGGUGUUCUUUUCUUGAAAGGUUUUACACUUUUUUCUCCUAAUAUUUCUUCUUUGGUUAUGGUUAAACAAUUUUAAAAAAAUGAAUCCCUCCAAAGUUAAUUCUUCCAAAGAUUCUGGCUUGUCAAUGUAUUUUGUGUGCCUACUUUAGGUGCUAAGGUUUAUGAUUAGAUUUUAGAAAAAUCUACCUUCUGAGAACUCUCCCAUUCCUGUCCCUGUUGUGUAAGGUAUAGUAUGCUGCAUUGUGGACCUGAAGACUACUCUAUUGUAUUAAACUUCGAUCCACAGAAA
Molecule: long non-coding RNA, 1675 nt
Organism: Esox lucius (northern pike)
Lineage: Eukaryota; Metazoa; Chordata; Actinopteri; Esociformes; Esocidae
Exons: 3
Source: RefSeq, a predicted model, not a curated record